Molecule: long non-coding RNA, 296 nt
Organism: Pollicipes pollicipes
Lineage: Eukaryota; Metazoa; Arthropoda; Thecostraca; Pollicipedomorpha; Pollicipedidae
Exons: 3
Source: RefSeq, a predicted model, not a curated record
CCCCAAAGUCCCAGUACUACACAGCGUGGGAAUUUAGUCUACAGAAUGUCAUCCACCCCACUGUCUCAUACUCCGGAUGAGCCCCUGAGUCCAGUGGACAGCAAUGAGGGCGAGGAUCUGGGACCACCACAGGGCGAUGCGUUCCUGAGGCAUAUUUCAACAAAGACUCGUCAGACACACUGUGUGUCACUGGACCACCUGUACACCCGGCCGUGGAGCUGGCGCUCCGACGGGGUGCACGUGCAGCACCAGACCCGUCUGGUGCUGGUCAACCCCCCGGCACAGAGUGGACGUCA